GGAGAGGUGCGAGAGUGGCCGAUUCGGCACGCUUGGAAAGCGUGUGUGGCGGCAACGUCACCGUGGGUUCGAAUCCCACCCUCUCCGCCA
This 90-nucleotide transfer RNA is filed under the name Microthrixaceae bacterium. RNAcentral describes it as "tRNA-Ser". It matches the Rfam family "tRNA". Rfam says of the family: Transfer RNA (tRNA) molecules are approximately 80 nucleotides in length. Their secondary structure includes four short double-helical elements and three loops (D, anti-codon, and T loops). Lineage: Bacteria; Bacillati; Actinomycetota; Acidimicrobiia; Acidimicrobiales; Microthrixaceae. The record is from RNAcentral.